AUUGAACGCUGGCGGCAUGCUUUACACAUGCAAGUCGAACGGUAACAGGCCUUCGGGUGCUGACGAGUGGCGAACGGGUGAGUAAUGCGUCGGAAAGUACCCAGAGCUGGGGGAUAACGCAGCGAAAGCUGUGCUAAUACCGCAUGUGAUCUGAGGAUGAAGGCGGGGGACCGAGCGGCAAUGGUUGGCCUCGCGCCUUUGGAGCGGCCGAUGUCGGCUCAGCUCGUUGGUGGGGUAAAGGCCUACCAAGGCGACGAUCCGUAGCUGGUCUGAGAGGACGACCAGCCACACUGGGACUGAGGCAAGGCCCAGACUCCUACGGGAGGCAGCAGUGGGGAAUUUUGGACAACGGGCGCAAGCCUGCUCCAGCAAUGCCGCGGGCGGGAAGAAGGCCUUCGGGUUGUAAACCGCUUUUGGCAGGAACGAAACGGUGUCCGCUAAUACCGGGCGCUAAUGACGGUACCUGCAGAAUAAGCACCGGCUAACUACGUG
RNAcentral lists this ribosomal RNA (492 nucleotides) under uncultured bacterium. RNAcentral describes it as "partial 16S ribosomal RNA". It matches the Rfam family "Bacterial small subunit ribosomal RNA", at positions 28 to 507 of the family's 1533-position model. The record is from RNAcentral.